Molecule: long non-coding RNA, 268 nt
Organism: Apis florea (little honeybee)
Lineage: Eukaryota; Metazoa; Arthropoda; Insecta; Hymenoptera; Apidae
Source: RefSeq, a predicted model, not a curated record
UUGGAGUUGAAGGAAGGAACGAUGAAAAUCGAUCGGCGCUCGUUAGAAUCCGAUGGAGGGAGCUUCGUUUCCGUGUCGAGGAGAGAGCGAUAUACGAGAUGAUUCGAUGUCAAUAGGAGGAGGAGGAGGGACGAGUUUAAGCGCGAUAACCGGAUAUAUUUCAUCUCGACAUUCAUUGCACGUAACUGCGCUCUUUAUUCGGCUGGUAUCGGCGAAUCGCCCAUCCACACCGUGGAUAUUAUCCGCAGUCGAGCCGGCCGCGUAACGA